AGGGGGAGAACUGGGAUAUAGGAAGUCCUUGAGUUUCCAGCCCUGGGAUCCAGAGUCAGACACCACACUCCCCAGACUGUGGAGGAUUCACCACCAGACCAGGAAGCCACAGCCUGGGCUUCAGAGUCGGCCACUCGUCCACGCACAGACGAGGAGAGGUCUCAUGAAACUUCGGCGCCAUCUGGGAUCCCAGCUCUUUUAUUUGGCAUAAAGCCCAGUCACGAGGGCCCUUAGUGACUGGGCUCAAGGAACACAAAAAGGUCCUGAAGGGGCGAGGCCUUAAGCAUUAUCCAAUCAGGGACACUGGGCUGGAAACCGUCCAAUCAGACACCCAGCUGGAGCGAACAGGUCGACUUCCGAGUUUGGCGGGGCCUUUGUCUCUCACUGCACCUGGAGCUCCAGGUCUCAUCUUCACUACUCUGUGUCCUCUGCUGCUGGAGGCCCAGCCCUGUGACCUGACGGUUUUGGGAGAUCCACAGCUAAGACGCCAGGACCUCCUGGAAGCCUAGAAAUGAGUUUUCGCUCUGUUGCCAGACUGGAGUGAGGUCCUACAGUUGUGCAGCCGCGCGAUCUGGGCUCACUGCAACCUCCACCUCCCGGGUUCAAGCAAUUAUCCUGCCUCAGCCUCCUGAGUAGC
RNAcentral lists this long non-coding RNA (637 nucleotides) under Homo sapiens (human). RNAcentral's name for it is "HSALNT0396535". The record is from RNAcentral. Lineage: Eukaryota; Metazoa; Chordata; Mammalia; Primates; Hominidae.